GAAAUCACAAUUUAUAGUUCUCUAUAAAUACCUCACAACAUCAUCCGUAACAACUCAUUCCAAUUCCCAAUCAAUUGUUUCUUAGAUUUAUUAUAAAGUACUUAAUUAUAUCGUUAUCGUGUGGCAAAAUAAUCGAGGUCGUGAGUAGACACCAAUAUUUAGUAAAAUCAGAAGAACAAACGAUCAAAGAAAAUGAUGAUGGAGAAGAAGGGCAAUGUGUUUCCUAGAAGAAGAGAGCAUGUUUCAACGAUGAUGGGGAAGAAAAUGGCUAAGGCUUUUGGCAAAACAUGCAAAUCUAUUGCUGCCGCUUUCAAGAAUCAUGACAAUAAUAAGGCAAAGAAUAAUGCAUGUGAAAAAUAUUAGAGUUAGGUUGGAUCGAUGUUGUAAUAUUAUUUCUUAUCCUAUUUUUUUAUUUUAUUUUCGUAUAGUUGUCUGUAAGUAGGUUUUGCGCAGCAAUUUCUGUAUUUGUUGCGAAUUGUAAUGGCUAUGGAUGUGAGAGUAUAUAUGUUUGUUCAUCUCUACAUGUAAAGCAGAUUUGUUACUUUGAAUUGUAAUAUCUUGUCAUUAAUUUGUUAUUAUUACUACU
This 586-nucleotide long non-coding RNA is filed under the name Salvia miltiorrhiza (redroot sage). RNAcentral describes it as "long non-coding RNA (SMIL_LNC000316)". The record is from RNAcentral. Lineage: Eukaryota; Viridiplantae; Streptophyta; Magnoliopsida; Lamiales; Lamiaceae.